This is a long non-coding RNA of Antechinus flavipes (yellow-footed antechinus), 8460 nucleotides long. RefSeq lists it as uncharacterized. The transcript is spliced from 3 exons. Lineage: Eukaryota; Metazoa; Chordata; Mammalia; Dasyuromorphia; Dasyuridae. The record is from RefSeq and is a predicted model, not a curated record.
GCAAGCAGUCCUAGAUAUGUUAAAUAUGUUGCAGUAUAUCUAGAUACAAUACAUAUUUGCAGAACCGAACAGUUCUCUUGUUGCACAGGGAGAAUUGGAUUCAGAAGGUAAAAAUAACUCGGGAAGAAAAUCAAAAAUGCAAAUAGUUCACAUUCAUUUCCCAGUAUUCCUUCUUUGGGUGUAGCUGUUUCUGUCCAUCAUUUCUCCAAUGAAACUCAGUUAAGUCUUUUUGUCAGAGAAAUCCACUUCCAUCAGAAUACAUCCUCACACAAUAUCGUUGUCGAAGUGUAUAAUGAUCUCCUGGUUCUGCUCAUCUCACUCAGCAUCAGUCCAUGUAGGUCUCUCCAAGCCUCUCUGUAUUCAUCCUGCUGGUCAUUCCUUACAGAGCAAUAAUAUUCCAUAACAUUCAUAUACCACAAUUUACCCAGCCAUUCUCCAAUUGAUGGGCAUCCAUUCAUUUUCCAGUUUCUAGCCACUACAAACAGGGCUGCUACAAACAUUUUGGCACAUACAUGUGAAUAUCUUUUGAUCAUUUAUCAAUUGGAGAAUGGCUUGUAUUUUUUUUUUAAUUUUUAUUUAAUAAUUGCUUUAUAUUGACAGAAUCCAUGCCAGGGUAAUUUUUUUACAUUAUCCCUUGCACUCGUUUCUGUUCCGAUUUUUCCCCUCCCUCCCUCCACCCCCUCCCCUAGAUGGCAAGCAGUCCUAUAUAUGUUCAAUAUGUUGCAGUAUAUCCUAGAUACAAUAUAUGUUUGCAGAACCGAACAGUUCCCUUGUUGCACAGGGAGAAUUGGAUUCAGACGUUAUAAAUAGCCUGGGAAGAAAAACAAAAAUGCAGAUAGUUCACAUUCGUUUCCCAGUGUUCUUUCUUUGGGUGUAGCUGCUUCUGUCCGUCAUUUAUCAAUUGAAACUCAGGUCUCUUUGUCAAAGAAAUCCCCUUCCAUCAAAAUAUGUCCUCAUACAAUAUCGUUGUCGAAUUGUAUAAUGAUCUCCUGGUUUUGCUCAUUUCAUUUAGCAUCAGUUCAUGUAAGUCUCGCCAGUCCUCUCUGUAUUCAUCCUGCUGGUCAUUUCUUACAGAACAAUAAUAUUCCAUAACAUUCGUAUACCACAAUUUACCCAGCCAUUCUCCAGUUGAUGGGCAUCCAUUCAUUUUCCAGUUUCCAGCCACUACAAACAGGGCUACUACAAACAUUUUGGCACAUACAGGUCCCUUUCCCUUCUUUAGUAUUUCUUGGGGAUAUAAGCCCAAUAGAAACACUGCUGGAUCAAAGGGUAUGCACAAUUUGAUAACUUUUUGGGCAUAAUUCCAGAUUGCUCUCCAGAAUGGUUGGAUUCGUUCACAACGCCACCAACAAUGCAUUAGUGUCCCAGUUUUCCCCGCAUCCCCUCCAACAUUCAUCAUCAUUUUUUCUUGUCAUCUUAGCCAAUCUGACAGGUGUGUAGUGGUAUCUCAGAGUUGUCUUAAUUUGCAUUUCCCUGAUCAAUAAUGAUUUGGAACACUCUUUCAUAUGAGUGGUAAUAGUUUCAAUUUCAUCCUCUGAAAAUUGUCUGUUCAUAUCCUUUGACCAUUUAUCAAUUGGAGAAUGGCUUGAUUUCUUAUAAAUUUGAGUCAGUUCUCUAUAUAUUUUGGAAAUGAGGCCUUUAUCAGAACCUUUAACUGUGAAGAUGUUUUCCCAGUUUGUUGCUUCCCUUCUAAUCAUGUUUACAUUAGUUUUAUUUGUACAAAGGCUUUUUAAUUUGAUGUAAUCAAAAUUUUCUAUUUUGUGAUCAGUAAUGGUCUCUAGUUCAUCUUUGGUCACAAAUUUCUUUCUCCUCCACAAGUCUGAGAGAUAAACUGUCCUAUGUUCCUCUAAUUUAUUUAUAAUCUUGUUCUUUAUGCCUAGGUCAUGGACCCAUUUUGAUCUUAUCUUGGUAUAUGGUGUUAAGUGUGGGUCCAUGCCUAAUUUCUGGAAUGGCUUGUAUUCUUAUAAAUUUUAGUUGGUUCUCUAUUUUAGAAUGUAGGCCUUUGUCAGAAACCUUGGAUGUAAAAAUUUUCUCCUAACUUACUGCUUCUCUUCUAAUCUCGUCUGCAUUGGUUUUGUUUGUACAAAAGGUUUUUAAUUUAAUAUAAUCAAAAUUAUCCAUUUUGCAUUUCAUAAUGUAUUCUAAUUCUUUGGUCACAAAUCCUUCUGCACAGAUCUGCCAUAUUUUGUUCUUAUUUGCUUAUAGUAUUACUAUGUCUAAAUCACAAACCCAUUUUGACCUUAUCUUGGUAAAGGGUGUUAGAUAUGGGUCAAUGUUUAGUUUCUGCCAUAUUAAUUUUCAAUUUUCCCAGCAAUUUUUGUCAAUAAGUUCUUAUUUGGAUUUCUUUUCUUGUCUGUAGUUUCUUUUGUAAACAUGAUUGGUUUGGAAAUGUUUUUCAUGACUGCAUAUGAAUAACCUAUAAAGGGAGAAAAUUUGGAAUUAAAUAAUUUUAUUUUUUCUAGCUCUAUAAAAUAAAUUUCUUGGCAGUCUGAUUCACAUAGCAUUGAAUAAGUAAUUCCAUAUUAGUCAUUUGGUAAAAGACAAAGAUAUCAAAAAUAAGUAUUCUUAAUUCUAUAUUCAAAAUUCACUGGUUCUCUUUCUGGAGGUGGAGAUAUCACUUUAGCAGCUGAAAAAAUGGCCUGGAGUUUUGACAAGGUAACUAGCAGAUCAGCAAAGUGUUGUAAGCAUGUAUAUACAUGAGAAAAUCUCAUCCUGUCAUUGGUGAUGAGAUAAAGAGAUAACAGAUUUUAUAAUGGUACGAUUAGAAGAAUUCAGAACUGGCUGAAUGACCUGACCCAAAACAUAGUAACUCACUUAGAGUUAUCAAUAUGUUCCAUUUCACCUACUAAUGUUUACUACAGCAAUAAGGUUGAUGAGGGCCUGGAAACAGAUUUUUAUAUGAAAGAUACUUUUUCCCCUUUUUUCCUUGAUUCAGAAGAUAAAAAUUAGGGAAAAUGAAGUUAUAAUUUUUUUUAAAAAAUUACUCAGUUUUUUAGUCAUGUCAACUCUUUGUGACCCCACUCUGGGGUUUUCUUGACAAGUAUUCUAUGGUUUAGCAUUUCCUUUCUCAACUCAUGUUACAAAUGAGGAAACUGAGGCAAAUAGGAUUAAAUGAUUUGCCUAGUCACACAGAAAGCAUUUCUUCCUGACUCCAGACCUGGGAUUAUAUCCAUUGCACUACAUAGCAGUGGUUCCCUUUUGGCCUUUAAAAUCAAAUAUAAACUCUUAUUUGGCUUUUUAAAGCCCAUCUUAUCCUGGCCCCAACCUACUUUUCCAGCCUUGAUGGACAUUACUCUUCCUGUAAGUUCUGUUCGAUACACACACACAUACACAAACUUCGUCUCUGGAUUUUUGCACUGGCUCCCCAUGCCUAGAAUACUUCCACAACUCUCCUUCACAGAAUCAGAAUCUAUACCAUGUUCUCAUCAUUUGUAUAUAUACCCCCAGCACGAAGCACAGCUCCAGGAAUAAAGUCAAGACUUAAUGAAUAUGCUGAUUGAAUGAUUGGACCUCAGAAGUUAUAGAAAAUUGACAGAAAAGGUGGAUUAGAAGUACAGGUGAAGGUGACUAGGAUAAUCCUUCAAUAGAAAUGGGGAAGUCGGGAGAGGGAAUGGGAGGAAUGACAACAUUCUGUUUGGGGCACUGAGUUUGAGAUGGGGAUGUGGCAUGCAGAUGGCAAUGUCUCAUUGUUAGAUGGAAUGCUUUGUUCAAGAAAGAAAUUAGGGGUUCAUAUUUCAGUUUUCAAGUCAUCUGCAUAGAGAAAUUGAACUCAUAGAAUCAGAUAGUCACCAAAGUUGAAAACAGAGAUUAGUAGAUACGGUUCAGAACGUCAGGGAAUAAUCCUUAGGCAGUGGGUACAGGAAUGGUGAUCAGCAAAAGAAACAGAAGAAUUAGUCAAAGGAGUAGGGGAUGAGUGUGCAGAGAGCCAAAGGAGAAGAAAGUAAACGGCAUGAGAUAUUUGGAAAGCACUUUGCGAAUCAUGUAUGCUGUUAUUCACAUAACUCAGAAGUGGAUAUGGUUAGCAUUAUUAUGCAACUUUCUCUAGUAGGGUGGGUGUGUUGGAUGGUGAGGAAAACUAAUAGUUGUGGGGUGCUAGGGAGUUUGGCAGGAAGGGAAGGGAACAAGUUAAAUAGGAGAUAUGAAUGUUUGACCAGAUCUUGGUAGGGCCAAGACAGUGAAGAAAGAAAAUGAAUCAGGAAAAGCCUACUGAACUUAAGAAAAUGAGCAGGGAUGAAUGGUUAAAGAUACAAGGUAGAGGGAGACAAAUGUACCUGAACUUCAGGAAACUGCCCUAGACUAGUGGCAAGAAUCCUAAACUGGAAAUCAAGGAGGACCAGGUCUGAGUGCUGCCUUUGCACUAAUUGUCUGAAAGCUUGAGCAAGACUCAUAUUCCUGAGGCUGAAUUUCUUCAUCUGUUAAAAAGAAACUGAACUUACAUAAACUGAUACUAAGUGAAGCAAGCAGAACCAAGAAAAUAUUGUACAGAGUAACUAUGAAAUUAUGUGAGGAUCAACUGUGAAAGAUGUGGCCCUUUUCAACAAUGAGAUGAUUCAGGGCAAUUCCAAUAGCCUGUGAUGGGGAGAGCCACCUGUAUCCAGAGAGAGAACUAUAGAUACUGAAGGUGGAUCAUUGCAUAGCAUUUUCACCUUUUUGUUGUUUUGUUUGCUUAUUUUUUGUUUUUUUUCCCUCUUGACAUGAUUUUUUUUUUGUAUAGCAUGACAAAUAAGGAAAUAUGUUUAGAAGAAUUGCAAUGUUUAAUCUGUAUCUGAUUGCUUACUGUUGUGAAGAGGGAAGAGCAGGAGAAGAAGAAACAUUUGGAACACAAGGCUUUGCAAAGUUUCGUUAUGAAAUGUUCUUCCUGUUACUCGGAGACGCCUUCUUUCCGAGGGCUGUACAUCCUUCCAUCGCACCCUGGCAUUCCCGCUCUUGGACACACCAGGAGGCCUGAGGUCAAGGUAGAACCUUUCGGCGGGAGGCCCCGUUGCACGUCAUCACGCGACGUCAUCGGGGGCGUUCGGUGGGCCCCGCUACCGAUAGAGCCGGGCCCUCGCCCUUUUAAGAGCGGAGGCGGUCAGGGUCACGUGGCGCAAAGGGGUGGGGCCGAGGCACCAGGAAGCGGCCUCCUGCUCCCGGAGCUGUAACCCGGGCUGCCGCUGCCACUGCCUUUCCUGCAGCCCCUCACGUAGAGCCCCGUGUGCUCCGCUACGCUCGAGGAUCGGCCCCGGCUCCUCCGCGGGGGUCAGAGCGGAGCUGCCGCCCGCCGAGAUGAGCGAGGAGGAGGACUAUUACCUGGAGCUGUGCGAGCGGCCGGUGCACUUCGAGAAGGCGAAUCCCGUCAACUGCGUCUUUUUCGAUGAGGCCAACAAGCAGGUUUUUGCUGUUCGAUCUGGUGGGGCUACUGGAGUGGUUGUUAAAGGACCAGAGGAUAGGAGUCCCAUCUCAUUUAGGUAACAGUAUUAACUGCGUUAUGGCCUCUUCAAAGUAUUUUCAGCACUUAAGCAAAUGUGGUAACUACCAACCAUCCUCUGCUGUCAGUAAUAUAGUUCAGAUUUUCUGAACCUAUUUGUCUUUUCUUCUUGACUAGAACAAUCUGUCGUUAGAUUUGCAGCAAUCAGUCACUGAGACAAGUCAUUGAGAGUAGGAUGGAGAAUUUGGUUUGUGGGGACGCACAUUGGUGGGUUUGCUGACCUCCCAAGACCUCUUUAUUUCUGCUUCCUUAUCUGGCUUAUGUCUUUCCACAGUAUUUUGUCUGUGAAGAAUAUUAGAUGACAUUUAUGUAGCAAUUUAAAUUUCACAAAGUGUUUUACAUACAUUAUCUCCUCUGAUUCUCACAGCAGUCCUGUGAGGUAGGUAUGACAAUUGUUACCCCAGUUUUAUAGGAUUUAGGAACUGUGAAAGAGUUUCUGUGCCAGUGUUUUCUCAUGAAACAGUAUUGUAAGAGAAAAGUGUUUCUUCCCUCUGACAAGGAGAGAAUCCAAUGGUGAUUAUUGUAGGAAAAAAAUAUUUUAAUGCCACCCAUUUUGGACCCUCAGUCUAUCUUCUUGGGUUGAAGAUGGGAGACUUGGAUCUAGGAGUGGAUUGUGUAGAUUAAAAACUUGAAGGUUGGGACAGCUAGGUAGUGCAGUGGGUAGAGCAGCAGCUCUGAAGUCAGGAGGACCUGACUUCAAAUCUGUCCUCAGUCACUUUACCCUUCCUACCUCUGUGACCCUGGACAAGUUACUUAACCCCAGUUGCCUCAGCAAAAAACAACAGGCUUGAAGGCAGUAAUCUUGUCUUACUCAUUUAUUUGACAAUGUUAGGAUAUAGGACAACUUUGAAUGUAGCUUCUAUCUCUGAAAGGAAAAACAAUCUUUUAUUUUAGUAAGACAUUCAAGCAACUAUUCAAAAACACUUAUCAAGCAUCUAUUGUGUGUCAGGCACUACGCUAACUGCUGAGGAUACUGAUCUUGAUCACAAGUUUGACUUGGGCUUUUACAAAUGAAAAAGUUGUGCCUUAAGUCUUAUAUUGUGUGUUGUUAAUAGGAAAUAGCUUUUGAAUUAGAUAGAAAACUUAGUUUUCCCUUUUGUUACUCAGGUUCUGCUAAUUCACAAAGAUGUUUGCCAAGAAGUAUAGUUAUCAAAAAAAUAUAAUCUCAUAUAAUUUGGUAUAGUUAGUUUUUGAGUUAUGUUGCUGCCUUUUGUUUUUAUACCUUAGUCUUCCUGAUAAUAAACCUCUACCUCAAAAGCAGUUUCUCUUGUAACAAUAAAAAUCACUUUAGGAAAACCAACUGAUGUAGCAGCCAUGACAGUAUAUGCAACUUUUCCUGCCUAUUAAUCCCCGAUUUCUCAGUAGAAUAGAGUAUGUUCCAUUACCUGCCUUUUGCAUUUUAGUAUUAAUUUUACUUGAAUUUGUAAAUGGUGUGUAUUGUUUUCAUGACCCUUCUCCCCCUGUAUAAUGACUCAUGUAACCUUCCAAAAUUUCCCUGAAUUUCUUAUAUUUCUCAUUUCAUACAGUAUGAUGGUGACAUUACAUUUAUUUACUACAAUUACAUAUAAUUUACUAUAAUACUAUAAUUAUAGUAUAAUUUGUCUUAAACUGAUUGAUACCUACGUUGUUUCCAGUUUUUUUGGCAACCACAAAAAGUGUUGGCACACAUUUUAAUGUAUGUGGUACCCUUCUUUCUGUCUUUGAUCUUCUUUGUGUUUAUUACCAGUAACAAGAUCUCUGGAAGACAAGGAGUAGACAGUUUGGUAUUUUUGUAUAAUUUUAAAUUAUUUUGCAGAACAAUUAGACUAAUUAAUAGGUCCACCAAUAAUGUGUUGAUAUGCCAAUCUUUGACAUUAUUUUCAUAUUUUAUUACCUUGUUUAACUUGAGGGGCACACAGUAAAACCUGAAAGUCAUUUUUAUUUACAUAGCUACUUGAAGCAUUUCUUCUUAUAAUCAUUGACAAAUUUUUCAUUUUUUAAGAAAUUCUGUAUCCAUAUCCUUUGACCACUUUCCUAUUGGGGAAUUGCUCUUAAUCUAAUAGGUUUGUGAUAUUUCCCUAUGUUUACAUGGGAUAAUAAAUUUUUAUUGGAAAUGCAUGUUGCAAAGAUUUGUCCCCGCUCAGCUGCUUCAUUUCUAUCUUAGCGCAUUAAUUUUGUUAACACACAAGUUCUAUAUUUUAUUCUUUGUGAUUUCUCCUAUCUGGUUAUGAAUUCCACCCAUGUGUAGUUUUAAAAAGUAUUUUCCUAAUUUCCUUUCUAAUUUUUAUAAUGAUAUGAUCUUAUAUUUAGGCUGCUUAUCCAUAUGACAGUUUAUGAUCACCUUUCCAGCUGGAUUUGAUGGCCAUCCCCACAAAGUUUUCAGGUGUCCAGUACUAUUGAAUGGACCUUCCACUGUCCCCACAGUAUUUUUGUGAUAGUCUUCCGCCAUAUUGUGAGUAACUUUGUUGAGGGUAAGAAUGCUUAUCUACACUCUGGGCUUAAGGAGAUGCUGCUAGUAUCUAAUAGUAUCUAAUUCUGAUACCUUUAUCCAGCUACACAGAUCUAGAGCUGGAAGGGACCUUAGCGGUCAACUAUUUCAACUACUUUCUCAUGAUGAGAAAGCAGCGUCAGGGAGGCUGGCUCCAUGAUACAGAGCCAGCAAGUAUUGCUGGAAGGAAGAUGCAAGCCCAGUGGGGCUUGAGCUUAUGGGUAAGAUCUCUUGCUCUAAUUUAGCGAGCUGGUUAUCAACUGUUCAUUUAGGUGGUGGAAACAGGGCAAAGCCGCAGCAAUCCCCUUCUCAAAAGACCUGUUCGGACCCAAGCUGUUAUUGAUCAGUCUGAUAUGUACACUCAUGUUCUAUCAGUAUUCACAAAGAAGGUUGGUAAAUAAAAUGUUUCAUUUAGUUUAUCCUUUGCUCAGGAAAUAAUAUUCUAGAAAAUAAAAGAAUUCAAGGAAGCUAAAUUGCUUAACUUAAUAAUGUAUUAAUAAUAAUAUAAUAAAAAUAACUUAAAUAA